AUUUAUAUUUAUUUAUAGAUAUGAUACUAUGAAAUAGCUUUAUUAUCCCUUGCUAAAAAUGCUUCCUUUUUUGCUUUCUUAGCAGUCAGUGCAAAAAUUCAAGUUAAUAUCAUAAUAUCAUGGUAAAAGCUGCAAGCUCUGAAGUGGUACAGGCUGGCAGGAAGCUCCCAGUGUAUGGUUUGGUGUGAGCAGCACCGAUGUAUUAGGUUUGGCAUAGUAGUACAUGGGUUUUUUUUCUUGUUUUUAGUGGCCAUCUAUGCCAUCUAUGCAUCUAUGCUUAACUUGUUAACAAUUUAUGUUCAUAUGUACGAGGAGGAGGAACAUAAAGAUGAUGUAAGGAUAGACAGGUUUGUAAAACCAGCCAUUUCUUCAAGGGACGGCUGCUGCAGCAAUACCCUGCUUGCACGAUGCCCUAUAUGAGUGUCUGUUUUGAGCGAGUUUUACACGUGACCUGCACCCUGAUCAUGCGUUCUUUUUAGGCUGCACACCCGCCUAUCAGCCUCAUCAGCGUUGAUGCUGUGGACCCACAUCAGUGGUUUCUUGAGCUUUGAGAAAAACCCAGUUCUUGUUCUUAGAUAAAUACAAGAACCCUUCUGUUUCAGAGCAGCGUGCAGCCAUGUGCACACUGUGUGUGCCAGAACAGACCCUUUCAAGAGCUCCAGAAGACUUUUUUAGCCUCUUUCUUUCAUCUGCAAGACCAAAAAGGAAAGAGAGGUUUCUGCAACUGGGAAGCAGGAGAAGAGAGCGGAGUGACAAGACUUCACCUGUAACGUAGCUGAUGGUGGGCUCACAGACCAGAACACACACAGCCUAUUGCACAGAUCGGCUUUCCUGGCAGCCCCGGGCAGCACUUGCAGGGACAGAGGUAUGGGACGCCUAAAAAUAGUUACUGAAAGAGACUAAAAGACAAGGACAGCUGGAAAAAACAU
Melopsittacus undulatus (budgerigar) is the source of this 929-nucleotide long non-coding RNA. RefSeq lists it as uncharacterized. NCBI's taxonomy places the organism in Eukaryota, Metazoa, Chordata, Aves, Psittaciformes, Psittaculidae. The record is from RefSeq and is a predicted model, not a curated record. The transcript has 3 exons.